RNAcentral lists this long non-coding RNA (790 nucleotides) under Equus caballus (horse). Its description in RNAcentral is "lncRNA (ENSECAG00000051520.1)". The record is from RNAcentral. Lineage: Eukaryota; Metazoa; Chordata; Mammalia; Perissodactyla; Equidae.
GUUCUGACUUCUGGGCAUUAACGGCUUCUGGAGGCCAGCCACUCGGUCCACUUAGAGGGAUAACAAACGUCCAUUAACUGUCAAUAAAGAGGAAAGAGAAAAGAACAGAAAAGGGAGGAUGACCAGUGUAAGACACAUUCUGAAGGAGCGACUGAGAGGAGUCUUGUGGACCUCUGAUUUCUUCUCUAUAAAUGUAAGAUCUCUAAGGCUGCAUGCAGUUAAAUAUGCACCCCAUCCCGUUACAUAUGCAGAACUAUUGCCAUUGGGAGCGAUGAAAACGAUUUCCGCUGUGAUUAAGUUCUAUGUUGGGCAUGAUGUCCAGCAGACAAUCCUGACCUUCCUCUGGGAAACCUCUGUUCUUGCAUUCUCGGUCCACGUUGUUAGCGGCGAGGAAAAGGCACGCACAGCCAUGGGCCGUGACUGGCCUAGCAAAUCAGAGCAUGGCUUCCUGGCUGACCCUGUGAUGGCUUCAGGACUCUAUUGGCCCUGAGCUAACAUCUGUUGCUUGAGGAAGAUGUUGCGGAGCUAACGUCUGUGCCAAUCUUCCUCUAAUUUAUAUGUGGGACACCUGCCACAGUGUGGCUUGACAGCAGUGUUAGGUCCAUGCCCGGGAUCCAAACCUACGAACCCCAGGCUGCCGAAGUGGAGUGUGCAAACUUAACCACUAUGCCACCAGGCCAGCCCCAUAUUAACUUUUUUUUACGCCAUAUGUGUCUUUGUGACUAGCCCUAACUUAACUGUUAUAAUUCUAGAAACUACAAAAACAAUAAAUCGCUAUUUUCAUCCAGAA